RNAcentral lists this ribosomal RNA (386 nucleotides) under uncultured euryarchaeote. Its description in RNAcentral is "partial 16S ribosomal RNA". It matches the Rfam family "Archaeal small subunit ribosomal RNA", at positions 474 to 859 of the family's 1478-position model. Lineage: Archaea; Methanobacteriati; Methanobacteriota. The record is from RNAcentral.
CACCAGCAGCCCAAGUGGUGACCACGAUUAUUGGGCCUAAAGCGCUCGUAGCCGGAUCAGCAAGUCCCUCGUGAAAUCGGGCCGCCUAACGGUUCGGCGUGCAAGGGAUACUGUUGGUCUUGAGGCCGGGAGAGGUCGGAGGUACUCCUGGGGUAGCGGUGAAAUGCUCUAAUCCUAGGGGGACCACCAKUGGCRAAGGCGUCCGACCAGAACGGACCUGACGGUGAGGGGCGAAGGCURGGGRAGCGAACGGGAUUARAUACCCCGGUAGUCCUAGCUGUAAAGCAUGCGGGCCAGGUGUCUAGCGCUCCUCGAGGGCGCUAGGUGCCGGAGGGAAGCCGUUAAGCCCGCCGCCUGGGAAGUACGGCCGCAAGGYURAAAYUUAA